Molecule: transfer RNA, 68 nt
Filed under: Marmota monax (woodchuck)
Lineage: Eukaryota; Metazoa; Chordata; Mammalia; Rodentia; Sciuridae
Description: tRNA.Val
Rfam family: tRNA (bases 6-63)
About the family: Transfer RNA (tRNA) molecules are approximately 80 nucleotides in length. Their secondary structure includes four short double-helical elements and three loops (D, anti-codon, and T loops).
Source: RNAcentral
GGAUAUAGCUCAGUUGGUAGAGUACUUGCUUCACAUGUACAAGGCCCUGGGUUCAAUCCCCAGCACCA